GAACCCGUAGCUCAGGCGGAUCAGAGCGCAACCGUGCGAAGGUUGAGGCCGCACGUUCGAGUCGUGCCGGGUUCA
RNAcentral lists this transfer RNA (75 nucleotides) under Acidobacteriota bacterium. RNAcentral's name for it is "tRNA-Arg". Lineage: Bacteria; Pseudomonadati; Acidobacteriota. The record is from RNAcentral. RNAcentral also lists the same sequence under 2 other names.